AUGACUCUUUUUUUUUUUUUUUUUUAGUAAGCAUUCUCUUUUCCAAUUUAUUCUCAUGCCAAAGGAACUUCUGUAAGGGAGGCAACAGUAAGGCUGAGGGACUUGAAUCUUAAUAGACUCCUGUCUAUUAAUUUUAGAUUUAGUUCUAUGCAUAGUUUCUUAAUGUAUGCUAUUGGUUCAGCAUCUUCAUUUUAAAAAUUUAAAUGUGGUACCACUUUGUCUUGAUCCUGUAAGUUUUGACGUCUUUUUUUUUUUUUUUUGCUUUUAUUUAUCCCCAUAUAUUUCCUAAGUUAUUUUAUGAUUUCUUCUUUGAUUCUUAAAUAGUUUACAAAAAACGUUUUAGUCUGUAUCUGUGCAGUAACUGAUGGGAAACUAAUAGAACUCCUUAGUAUAUGAGAAUUGUUUUCUUGUAUUGCUGUCAGGAUUCUCUCCCUCGUGACUUUUUUUUUUAUGAGAUUGGGAAUUGAACUCAUUGCCCCCUGGAUGGGCCUAUGGCUUAUCCAUGGCGUUGGCAGUUUGAUUAUGUAUCUUAGUACAGGUUCCUUAGGUUUGUGCUUGCUUGACUGUGAACUUCUUAAAUUUGUCAAUUUCUCUCCUCAUAUUUGGAAAGUUCUUCCUAUUUUUAUCUUCUCCUUUAGACAUUGUGUAACAUUCUGUUUGACUGAUGAUAGCCUGUGAGUCAAGUUCUUUUAAUUUUUCUUAAUUCUUUCUUUGGUGGUUCCUUUGUCAUUGUCAUUUCUUUCUUCAUAGUUACUAUUUUUUCUUGUGAUUGGCCAAGUUGAGUCUUCAUAUAUUUUAAGUUAUUCUUCAGUUUUAGUAACAAUGUUUGAGUCUUUUCAUUUAUUUUCUGUUUAUCUCAUUUUGUUUACUAUUUUGCUGAUUUUCUGGUUUUGUUGUGUAUCUGGACAGUUCCCUGAGCUGCUUCUUACCUCCAUCUCUCCCUUUCCUUUAUCUUCUUGUUACCAUUAUUUUUUCCUUUUCUCUUUCUCUCCUGUCUUCUCCUGUCCCCUCCCCUCCUUUCCCUCCACUCUUCUCCCCUCCCCUCAACAUCUUCUCUAAGCCUAGUCUAAACUUUAUUUAUAGCAGUCCUUCUGCCUUAAUUUCUCAAGUUCUAGGAUUACAGAUGGGAGCACCCACAGCCCAUGGAGAUUUAAGUCUAUCCCUUGGAAGGUUUUGUGUGUGUGUGUGUGUGUGUGUGUGUGUGUGUGUGUGUGUGUGCUUCCCCUUUUAUUUAUUUGUGUUGCUUUCUCUCAGGGUUAGCUCUUCUUAACAGUCUGGUUCUAGUCUGGGUGGUUUCUGCAGCUAGUUAGUCCAUUCAGAGAGUCACGAGACUUUGCAAGCCAUUUCUAGGGGUGUAGCGUCUCUGGGCUUGUUCAUGGAAGAGCAUUGUCUGUAUCUUUAUUUAGGGAACAGUCUGGGCAACUCCUCUGCCCUACUGUGUCCUCUCACACACACUGUAAUAAGCCAUGGUACUAGAGCUCCACCUAAUGUCUAUCCUUAGAACUACAGACUCUGGGUGCUGGACUAAAUCAUUUUGAUUUCCUUUGUUCUCAGUUCAGCUACUGUUGCCAGUGCUAGAUUCAAGAAAGACAGCAAACAGUCCCUGUGGUAGCACUUCUACUUUCCCUUUGAAGGGAAAACUCUGGGAAAGAAGUUGCAUUUCCUCCCGUCCUGCCUUGCAGAGAGGGCUCCUGGGCGUGGAUGUGGUUUUGUAUUUUUCACUCAAGAGACAGGACCUCUUAAGCAGUCUCUGGAUUUCUUACAAGGACGAGUGAUUCAUUUAUUACAGUUUAGUCUGUGUUUCAGUAGGGAAGGGGGUUUGGGGUUUCCUAAACUUCAGUCUUGUUGACAUUAAACUAUGUGUUCUGAUUUUUAAGGUUUAAUUCUUUGAACUUGAUAGGUUAGAUUCUCACCUCUUUUUCUCUUAUAUCCAUUUGGGAGUAGAUAGAAGGUAGGGUGGUGGUGGUGGCAACCAUUUGUUAAGAAGGUGCAGGAAUGUGGUUAACUUGUUGAAAAUGUUUUGAGAUGCUGUCCAUCUCCAGUUAUCAGUGCAGUUUAGCAAAAACUCCUAAGGCAAAUUUCAAAAUCUAAAUUAUGUAGACACUGACUUCAGGUUGACUUAAUAUUGAAAAUAUUUUCAUUUUGAUGUAUGUUUUAGAGUUAUAAACUUGAUGAGAAAGUUUUUUUUCCCUAUGUGCUUGUUAUAGGUUUGCAACCUUUAUGCCAAUAGUCACAUGCAUUGAGACGCCUUUCUAAGUUAUUGAUAGAAAAUUACCUUCCUUUGAAUUAAUAUGUCUCACAUUUUAAAGUAAUUAGAGAAUGAUUUUAGUGAUUAUGAUCUUUGUGCUAACUAUUCUGAGGACCUGUAUAGGUUAUUACUUCUCUCUUUGCUGUGAUAAAAUACCUGAGAACAAAGCUUGAAGAGGACAGAGAUUAGAGUGGAGGGUCCAGUUCAUUUGAUUACAACAGACAAUAAUUACCUUGUAAACAAUGGACCACCAAAAUGGUAGCUGCAGCUACAUGAAAAUGUUCCCAGUUGGGAGAUGUUAGUUAAAUCCAGGACAAAAUGGGGGUAACUCUGGGCAGUUCAGAGGGGAAGACAGGUGUGAGAGUGGCUCUAACUGUGGGACCAGGCCAUACUGCAAGCUGAUUGAUCAUAUUACAUGUGCAUUCAGGAAGCAUAGUGCUGGUGAUGUCCUUGUUUUCUCCUAGUGUAUUUACUUUACAUAAGCUGCUCACAGUCAGGGUAGCUUUUUUCCAUUUUUGUUAAACUGUUCUUGAAACAUCCUCACAGAUACAUCCACAAAUUUUGUCUUCUAGGUUAUUCUACAUUUCAUUAGAUUGACAAUCCCAUCACAGUAUGCAUUUUACAAAUAGUUUAUUGCUAUAAACAUCGUAAGCCGGGCGUGGUAGUGCACGCCUUUAAUUCUAACACUGGGGAGGCAGAGGCAGAGGCAGGCAGAUUUCUGAGUUCAAGGUCAGCCUGGUAUACAAAGUGAGUUCCAGGACAGCCAGGGCUAUACAGAGAAACCAUGUCUCAAAAACC
RNAcentral lists this long non-coding RNA (3046 nucleotides) under Mus musculus (house mouse). Its description in RNAcentral is "long non-coding RNA chr14:16378907-16381953". The record is from RNAcentral. Lineage: Eukaryota; Metazoa; Chordata; Mammalia; Rodentia; Muridae.